UACGGAGGGUGCAAGCGUUAUCCGGAUUUACUGGGUUUAAAGGGUGUGUAGGCGGACUUUUAAGUCAGCGGUGAAAUCUCCGGGCUCAACCCGGAAACUGCCAUUGAUACUAUUAGUCUUGAAUGUUGUUGAGGUGGGCGGAACGGGUCAUGUAGCGGUGAAAUGCAUAGAUAUGACCCGGAACACCGAUUGCGAAGGCAGCCCACUAAGCAACGAUUGACGCUGAGGCACGAAAGCGUGGGGAUCAAACAGG
RNAcentral lists this ribosomal RNA (253 nucleotides) under uncultured bacterium. Its description in RNAcentral is "partial 16S ribosomal RNA". It matches the Rfam family "Bacterial small subunit ribosomal RNA", at positions 524 to 776 of the family's 1533-position model. The record is from RNAcentral.